This 515-nucleotide long non-coding RNA is filed under the name Medicago truncatula (barrel medic). RNAcentral describes it as "lncRNA gene26483". Lineage: Eukaryota; Viridiplantae; Streptophyta; Magnoliopsida; Fabales; Fabaceae. The record is from RNAcentral.
GUUGUUUUCAUAAGUUCUCCCGAACAGUCUCACAAACUUGUGUCCGUAAAUGAGCUCAAAUAACUCACUCCAAACUGGUCCCAAGUUACAUUUGAUUCAAGCAACUUCAUUUAUCUUGCAGCAUUUUGAUUUAUCUGACUAGCAUGCAAAGCUAACUUUAAAUUUCCCAAGCAAACUUGCUCAAAUUAAGUUUAGAUAAACAUAAUGCUCAAUAUAAGGAGCAAAAAUUUUAACUUAGAACUUGUGUCGAAGUAUAAAGUGCCACCUCCCCUCUGUGGUCUGCGAGCAAACUAGAGUGUUCUCAAAAGUACUGUGGUAACUGGCAACGGUUAUCCGGAAUUCACGAGGCAUAGAUUAGAUUUUGGUUUUUGCUGUAGUUGUCUCCUGACUAAUGCAUAUAAACACCAUUCUUCUCGAGAAGCUCGUCAUGAGUGCCACUCUCAACAAUUUGACCAUCAGAAACAACUGCAACAGUAUUAGCAGUUUUAACAGUUGAUAACCUAUGAGCAAUGACU